This 4676-nucleotide long non-coding RNA is filed under the name Penaeus japonicus. RNAcentral's name for it is "uncharacterized LOC122250159". The record is from RNAcentral. Lineage: Eukaryota; Metazoa; Arthropoda; Malacostraca; Decapoda; Penaeidae.
GGCGGCGGGGGCAGUACGGCUGGAGGGUGACGUCAUCACGGCCAAUGGAUCCAUCCUCUCGGGUCAGUGUCCGCAGGAGGCAGCGUCCUUCACUGACCUGACCUCCGUGUGCUCCUGUACCUGCGUGUCCUGUGCGCCGUGCCCUUCGUUGCCCUUCAGAAACUCUCAGAGCAUGCGGAAGAACCCCAUCAGCCUGGCGUACAUCCUGCCGCACCGCCGCAACUUCCGCAAGAGCCAGUCUCAGCACCAGCAGGUCACCCACACGGAGACUCAAGAGGACCUGUGUUCCUCGUCCGAGUUCGAGGCGGUCGCGACGCCGGCGCACCUGCAGAAGCGGAACUCUGUCUAGCCCAGUGACGAUCGGAAAGAUAAUAAACAAAAACGAGAGACAGAGAGAGAGAGAGAGAGAGAGAGAGAGAGAGAGAGAGAGAGAGAGAGAGAGAGAGAGAGAGAGAGAGAGAGAGAGAGAGAGAGAGAGAGAAAUGAGAGAGAGAGAGAAAGGAAAAUGUAAUUGAAAAAAAACAAUAACGUAAAACUGUACGUGUGGGACGGAUAGCAAAGGAAGGUUUAUAUGGCAUGCAAUAUUGUUAGUGCUGAUAGAUUUCGUUUCAUGCUGUAGACUUAAAAACAAGGCAGAUUGACAAGAGCGAGAACAACGUUAUUGCAUAUGCGAGUGAUAUUAAGAGGGAAAGUGCAGUGUGUUUAUCAGGACGAAACAAAUGCAGUGCAUUAACAACAAUUUGUCACUCUGAGUUGGACACUCUUUUGACUGAGUCAUGGUGAAGUGUGAAGUCAGAGGUCAUUAUUUGACGUCGUGUGGACAUUUGUGAUAUGAAAUUAUAUGAAGCCAACAUGUUAAUUUUGUCCAGAACCGUCGCGGAUUCUGAAACGCUUUUAAGAUCAACAUAUUCUUUGUUCAGAUGCGAGGUGGUGACGAAGAUGAAGAAGGAUGCCGUCCCAAUUUUCCCUAAUGCUAAAGUCAUAUGCCUUGACCUGACAUGACCUCGUUUCGUUAUCAAGAGCUGCCAGAACGGUCCAGGGGGCGGAUAUCCGACUCGAGGUCAUGUCAAGACGUGUGGGAAGGUCCAGCGCGCGGUGACCAUGGAGACGAGAGUUAACCGAAGGUGGUGGUGUUACCUGGACUUUGCAACCUGCUGGGCCUCUCGCGGUGACUUUGCAACGUGCUGGGCCUCUUGUGGUGACAAUGCAACCUACUGGGCCUCUUAUGGUGACCUUGCAACUUGCUGGGCCUCAUGUGAUGACAUUGCAACGCGAUGGCGCCGAGGCACCUCAUACAAGUGGCCUUGGAAGUUCUGACGUCUUCCAGGCCCAGGAAAAUAAGGUUACUGACGAGAGCGCCAGCCGCCAGCCUUGUUCGGAUCCCCCGAGGAAGAAAAACAGACCAUGUUCAGAUAUCAGGAAAUCGGUUGUUUUGAUUGCGUGCAACUGGAACGUUGAAAUGGGAACCUCGCAAGACUUCAGGAAGAAAAAUCGUUUGCACAACUGCCGGCAAUGCUUCAAAUCGAUCGACCAGAAAGUCUCAGCACGAGCGGGCCAUUAGCAGUCCCUCAGCGCAAUUCCGGUCGAGGUCUUCUGGGAAGAUGGAUUCGCGACUCCUGUUCUCGCUGGCAGGAAUUGCAAACUUUCCCGAGGAAGCAAGCAACGUUUCUUCUCGAGGUCUUGGACGGAGAAAAAAGUUCCAGGUCGUCACUAUGUGACUUAGUAUAUAGGAGAGCAAAGAUUGAUUGUUUGAGGGCCUUUGGGCAGCAGGGACUCCUUGUACCAAGCCCGACCGCCAUUCCAUAAAAUUUAUUCUUUACUGUGUUCUUAGGAUAAGGCUUCAGACCUUGUUGUUUUACUAUGGUGAUUGGCAUAUUAAAAAGUUUCUAUUGAUCAUUCGUCAGGGAAAUUUUGCCUCAUUCUAUAUCCAACUAUUUUUUUGUAUUUCAUCUUAAUGCAGCACGUCUGUUUUGGCAGGGGUGAAAAGGUGACAACGUGCAUGAGCUAAGGAAGACGAAAAAGUAACCGUGUAUGUAUGUUGCUGUGAUAACUUUCUUCACGAUAUGCAAAUUAGAGAAGUUGUCGAGAGCUACGUAGCCAGAAUGGUCAGUGUAAAUACUAUACAGAGAUAUUUCUCAUAUAUAUAUAGGAAGCAUUUAUCAUGUCAGUAACCAGAGGAAGUGUUUAAUAAUAAAGCUAUAAAAAAAACUCGUCACUGACUGCGACCGGUAUCGUUCAACAGAACUUCUUUCCAAAAAAAAAGUUAUAGUGUUAGACAAAAUAGCGUCCAAGAGGCUACGAGUUCACUUUAAUUUUUCACUUAUUAAUAGUUGCUAUCAUGGCGCUAGAUUUGGGCAGAAUUAUUACUAUAUAGACAUGUAAGCCUCCAUAACGAAUUAUUUUUAAGCCUUAUAUUCAAGAGAGAGAGCUCGAAGGUGAAGUGGAAGAAAUCUCCAGUCGACGAAGUAAGAAAAGAGUGAUUUCUGAUCACUUCUGGAAACCUUUUAGGAGGACCUUUUGGAGUUCUUUCUUUUCUUUCUCACUCGCUACAUUUGCUACAAGAGCUUUAUGAAUGAUAUUUUUUUCUUUCCUUCAAGAUUCUUCAAGUGCUAUUAGAGGAACCAGAGGACUGUGCCGAGUAUGAGACCGUGACAUUCUGUCUCUUUCGCUGCCACCUUUACGAAGCCCCGAUCACGCAUCCUCAUCCUUAAUAUCAGCAAUCAUCUGUCUAAUUUAUCAUCGUCAGCGUUACGUUUCUGGAGUCAUUCAUUGUAACUAUUAUUAUCAAUAUCUUUUAUUAUUAUCAUCCUCUCUUUGACACUUCUGUGGCUUCUUUUUCCUCAUCUUCAAUAUAAUCGUGGCAUGGCUCACACACUUGUUUCUCUCCUUUUAUUUGGAUUUUCAUCAUAUUUUCAUCUCUUUAUGACAUUCCUCAAGUAUUAGCCCUCAUGGCAACAUCACUUUCUAGUUCCACCAGACAUCAAAAGCAGUUCAAUAGCUUUUCACUUUUCCUUCCUUAGGCCUACUCCUGUGUAGGCCUACUCCGCCCUAAAGUGUCAUUACAACUUGCAUUUCCAUUUCACGUCACCCGCCUCCAAGUCAGCUCCACUUCUCACCACUGCUUCCACCUCACCACUGCAUCCAUUUCGAUUCCCUAGAAUCGCCACUUCUCUGGGUAUAAAUACUUGCAAAUUCCUCUCUGCCAUAAUUCGGCAUAUUGUCCUGUACAGUUUAUUCUUCACCUUAUGUUUCCAAGUAAAGCAAGUGUCGCGUCCGAGCGAUUUAAAGAUAAAUAAAUUGAUGGUCUAGUUAGUAAUGAUCAACUAAACAGAUAACUGAAAGUGACCUCAGAGUGUGUCCCCCAGAUGCACAUUUAUGUUGAAGCAGAUUCUUGCCCUUGGACUUCCGUUUGCCUAUUCUUCUUUCCUAUCAGGUCAGUUAGAGUUGCAUUGUGAUAUUGCAAAUUUAUAACGAGCACCCAUUGUUCUAUCCAUGACAUAGUUCUGCGUUCUGGUUUAAUAUUUUACAUUUGAUGAUCCUCUGUAUGCCUCCUGGGAUUCCCCUGUUUCCUGGGGCUCCGGAACUGUCCCUUCAGAGACGGUUUGGCGUGCCGCCCUCGCCUGACUGGCCGUUCUCCCGCGGCCCGGCUUGGGGGAACGGGCGCCAGCCUUCCCCACUUGAAGGAGCACACGAAACCCAUGGUCCAUGGCGGCGGCUGUCUAGUACUUUACAGUCUUCGCUUUCAUUAUGGCAUAACCUCGGCUCUUAUAAUAUCUCUUAUUACUGAGGUCAGCCAUUGCCUUACACGAUAGACUCUAGCUCGUCCAUAAGAAAAGGGGAAAAUAUAUAUGUAUUUUUAAAUGUUUCUUUCCUCUAAGGUAUAUUUUGGUCUUCUUUUCAAACCUAUUCUAUCGCACAACAUAGGACUUGCUCUGAGAAAAGAUGUUCUUUUUGGGAUGAUGCCAAUAUUAUUUGUUGCAUAAAACGGGGCGAAAGUUAAGUGGACAGUGCGUGAUUAGCUCCGCAUCUAACAGUUGUCUUACAUGGAGUUAAACCUAUCGGUUGUUGUUAUUGUUGUUAUAUAUAUAUAUAUAUAUAUCUCCAUUCCUCUAUCUUAUCUUCUACAAUCUGCUACAGCUGUUGCGCACACCGGUUUCUAUCUUGUUUUCCCUUUUUUUUUUCCUCUUAAUAAUUUGAGACUUGAGAACCAGGAUGCCAGAGGUGUGCCAGAGAGGUUGUCCGAGCAAGCGAGCUGCAUUGGCACGUAGGCUAGUGGCACUCACAAGGCAGCACUGCUCACUGUGAGUGCCCUUUGGCUUCCGUACCCUACGUCAGCACGAUACUUAGCAGCUAGUAAGAAUGUUAUUCUUACCGUUAAAUCUUGAAUUGUAUGUUCUGAAAUCUGUUACAGAAAGAAAUAUUUUGAUUAAGAUUAGAUAUAGGACAGUUAGGACCUUAAUCCAUUACAUUAGACCACUUUUAUACAUGAUCCUCCAAAAUCAGUUUUGUAGGAUUUCAAAAAAAGGAAAAAAAAGAAAAGUUUUAGCGAUGCCUCUGUAACAAAGGGGUACUUAUUACCUUAUAAUCGUAAAGAUAAUAGCUAAACAAUAUAUUCCAUUUACAGGCUAUUCAUUUGUAGCCAUUCUGUAUCUAUUUGUAAUAAACUUAUCUCUCUU